Molecule: transfer RNA, 77 nt
Filed under: Betaproteobacteria bacterium
Lineage: Bacteria; Pseudomonadati; Pseudomonadota; Betaproteobacteria
Description: tRNA-Arg
Rfam family: tRNA
About the family: Transfer RNA (tRNA) molecules are approximately 80 nucleotides in length.
Source: RNAcentral
AUGCCUGUAGCUCAAUGGAUCAGAGCGCCGGUCUCCGAAGCCGGAGGGUGCAGGUUCAAGUCCUGUCGGGCAUGCCA